CCCUUAGAUGUUCUGGGCCGCACGCGCGCUACACUGAUCAGUGCAACAAGCAUCCGUCCUUGGCCGACAGGCCCGGGCAAUCUUUGAACGCUGAUCGUGAUGGGGAUAGACUUUUGCAAUUUUUGGUCUUCAACGAGGAAUUCCUAGUAAACGCAAGUCAUCAACUUGCAUUGAUUACGUCCCUGCCCUUUGUACACACCGCCCGUCGCACCUACCGAUUGAAUGGUCCGGUGAAAUCUCCGGACUGGCGUGAGUCGGAGCAAUCUGACAAACACCGGAAAGUUGAUUAAACCUUACCAUUUAGAGGAAGGUGAAGUCGUAACA
Molecule: ribosomal RNA, 324 nt
Filed under: uncultured eukaryote
Lineage: Eukaryota
Description: partial 18S ribosomal RNA
Rfam family: Eukaryotic small subunit ribosomal RNA
Source: RNAcentral